This 430-nucleotide ribosomal RNA is filed under the name Bacteroidota bacterium. RNAcentral describes it as "Bacteroidetes bacterium partial 16S ribosomal RNA". It matches the Rfam family "Bacterial small subunit ribosomal RNA", at positions 355 to 776 of the family's 1533-position model. The record is from RNAcentral. Lineage: Bacteria; Pseudomonadati; Bacteroidota.
UAGGGAAUCUUCGGCAAUGGGGGGAACCCUGACCGAGCAACGCCGCGUGAGUGAAGAAGGUUUUCGGAUCGUAAAGCUCUGUUGUUAAGGAAGAACGAGUGUGAGAAUGGAAAGUUCAUGCUGUGACGGUACUUAACCAGAAAGGGACGGCUAACUACGUGCCAGCAGCCGCGGUAAUACGUAGGUCCCGAGCGUUGUCCGGAUUUAUUGGGCGUAAAGCGAGCGCAGGCGGUCAAUUAAGUCUGAUGUGAAAGCCCCCGGCUCAACCGGGGAGGGUCAUUGGAAACUGGUUGACUUGAGUGCAGAAGAGGGGAGUGGAAUUCCAUGUGUAGCGGUGAAAUGCGUAGAUAUAUGGAGGAACACCAGUGGCGAAGGCGACUCUCUGGUCUGUAACUGACGCUGAGGUUCGAAAGCGUGGGUAGCAAACAGG